AUGGACGGCCUCAUCCAUUGGGAUUUCUCCCCCGGCCUCAAGGUCGAGGGCCAGGUGCGUGCUCGCUUUGGAUCUAUGGUUCACUUCGUCCCCAACCCCAACUCCAAGGAGUUCUUCCUUUAAGUUUCUUUCUCCUCGGCCUCUUUUCCUCUCUCGGUGGAAUCUAUGGGAUUGGCUCUUCAGUCUUGCAUUGGU
Molecule: ribosomal RNA, 195 nt
Filed under: Triticum aestivum (bread wheat)
Lineage: Eukaryota; Viridiplantae; Streptophyta; Magnoliopsida; Poales; Poaceae
Description: partial small subunit ribosomal RNA
Source: RNAcentral